GCCGGGUGUGGUGGCGCAUGCCUGUAAUCUCAGCAACUUUGGAGGCUGAGGCAGGAGGAUUAGGAGUUCAAACCAGCCUCAG
Molecule: small RNA, 82 nt
Filed under: Marmota monax (woodchuck)
Lineage: Eukaryota; Metazoa; Chordata; Mammalia; Rodentia; Sciuridae
Source: RNAcentral